AGAACAGCAAAGGAAGUUCAAACUUCAUUUAAGAGGAGAGAGGAACUUUUCAUUGAGCAAAGGCGCAAGGUUGACUUGAAAACUUUUGCAAGCUGGGAGGACUCUCCUGAGAAGAUGAUGAUGGAUAUGAUGUCUGAACCCAAUGCAGUGCGAAGGGAAGAUCGGUGAAUAAAAUUGUGCAGAAUGCAUUAUUGCUUUUUUUUUAUCCUUCACAUUUUUCCAAUUAGGCAGGUUUCUAGAUUGUAAUAAUCCUGUAUAAGAGGAAAGUAGAGUAGGUGAAUAGUCCCGUGUGUUUCUUUACGAUGUGGCUCUACAGAAUUCCAGAGAAGAGUUGAUCUCUCUGGGAAUAUUCAAGGCUUAAGAGCCCCUGGGGGAUUGUU
RNAcentral lists this unclassified non-coding RNA (380 nucleotides) under Hevea brasiliensis (rubber tree). The record is from RNAcentral. Lineage: Eukaryota; Viridiplantae; Streptophyta; Magnoliopsida; Malpighiales; Euphorbiaceae.